This 467-nucleotide ribosomal RNA is filed under the name uncultured bacterium. RNAcentral's name for it is "partial 16S ribosomal RNA". It matches the Rfam family "Bacterial small subunit ribosomal RNA", at positions 28 to 506 of the family's 1533-position model. The record is from RNAcentral.
GACGAACGCUGGCGGCGUGCUUAACACAUGCAAGUCGAACGGAAAGGCCCUGCUUUUGUGGGGUGCUCGAGUGGCGAACGGGUGAGUAACACGUGAGUAACCUGCCCUUGACUUUGGGAUAACUUCAGGAAACUGGGGCUAAUACCGGAUAGGAGCUCCUGCUGCAUGGUGGGGGUUGGAAAGUUUCGGCGGUUGGGGAUGGACUCGCGGCUUAUCAGCUUGUUGGUGGGGUAGUGGCUUACCAAGGCUUUGACGGGUAGCCGGCCUGAGAGGGUGACCGGCCACAUUGGGACUGGGAUACGGCCCAGACUGCAACGGGAGGAAGCAGUGGGGAAUAUUGCACAAUGGGCGGAGGCCGGAUGCAGCAACGCCGCGUGCGGAAUGACGGCCUUCGGGUUGUAAACCGCUUUCGCCUGUGACGAAGCGUGAGUGACGGUAAUGGGUAAAGAAGCACCGGCAAACUACGU